This 252-nucleotide ribosomal RNA is filed under the name uncultured bacterium. RNAcentral's name for it is "partial 16S ribosomal RNA". It matches the Rfam family "Bacterial small subunit ribosomal RNA", at positions 524 to 775 of the family's 1533-position model. The record is from RNAcentral.
UACGAGGGGGGCAAGCGUUGUUCGGAAUUAUUGGGCGUAAAGGGUGCGUAGGCGGCGCGGUAAGUCGGGUGUGAAAUCUCGGAGCUUAACUUCGAAACUGCAUUCGAUACUGCCGUGCUUGAGGACUGGAGAGGAGACUGGAAUUUACGGUGUAGCGGUGAAAUGCGUAGAUAUCGUAAGGAAGACCAGUGGCGAAGGCGGGUCUCUGGACAGUUCCUGACGCUGAGGCACGAAGGCCAGGGGAGCAAACGG